CCAGACUCCUACGGGAGGCAGCAGUGGGGAAUAUUGGACAAUGGACCAAGAGUCUGAUCCAGCAAUUCUGUGUGCACGAUGAAGUUUUUCGGAAUGUAAAGUGCUUUCGGUUGGGAAGAAAAAAAUGACGGUACCAACAGAAGAAGUGACGGCUAAAUACGUGCCAGCAGCCGCGGUAAUACGUAUGUCGCGAGCGUUAUCCGGAAUUAUUGGGCAUAAAGGGCAUCUAGGCGGCCUGACAAGUCAGGGGUGAAAACCUGCGGCUCAACCGCAGGCCUGCCUUUGAAACUGUUAGGCUGGAGUACCGGAGAGGUGGACGGAACUGCACGAGUAGAGGUGAAAUUCGUAGAUAUGUGCAGGAAUGCCGAUGAUGAAGAUAGUUCACUGGACGGUAACUGACGCUGAAGUGCGAAAGCCGGGGGAGCGAACAGGAUUAGAUACCCUGGUAGUCCCGGCUGUAAACGAUGAUUACUGGGUGUGGGCAGGAAGACUGUCUGUGCCGAAGCGAAUGCGAUAAGUAAUCCGCCUGGGGAGUACGGCCGCAAGGCUGAAACUCAAAGGAAUUGACGGGGGCCCGCACAAG
RNAcentral lists this ribosomal RNA (583 nucleotides) under uncultured bacterium. Its description in RNAcentral is "bacterial SSU rRNA". It matches the Rfam family "Bacterial small subunit ribosomal RNA", at positions 331 to 929 of the family's 1533-position model. The record is from RNAcentral.